UCCUACAGCGAUUUCUUCUGAAAUUUCAUCAUAACAAUUUUGCACUACUCAUUUUUCUUUCUCAAAACAUCCUUCCUACCUCUAAUAUUUUUAUCUUAUUUUUUUUAGAGUUAAUUGCAUUUCGCACCUCUACACUUGGUCUAAAACACUUUAAUAUGCAAACUUUUAGAAAUUGCAUAUCAAAACCCUCUUAGACACUUUUAAUCAAACACAUUCGGUGCAUUAUUUUCUCUCUCUACCUUUAACAUCGGCGAGGAAGGAUUACAUUCAUGUGGGGUGCUUGGCGUAGACUUGAUGGUAUUUUGCCCAAAGACACUCCUAUGGGGUGCUCGGCCUAGACCUAAUGGUUCAUGCUAAGACAUUCUGCGGGGUGCUCGGAAUAGACCUGAUGAGAACUUGAAAUAUUCCCUCCCCCUGGCGGGGCUGCCAACUCUGGUGUCCUCGGAUGACGCCGGUGCUUGGCGCUGUUAGGGUCGCUGAGGAGUCCUCGGGCUCUUUGGCGUUUGGGAAAAAUGUUGGCGUGAAUAGGGUCAGACACGUCGACGUUGACCGUGAAGGAGAAGUGAUCCAUUCGUAUGGAGGGGACCCCGGCUCCCCCCUCCCGAAAACAACGUUGGUGUAAAUGGCCAUAGCACCAACGGAGACCGUCCCGGAGUGGCCAAAUUCGCGCAUAGCGGUUCACGUUGCUUACACUACUGUGGGUUGAUUCCUUUUAGACCUUUAGGUUUUGAAGGGUUCAGCCUGAUGUAUGAGGGUUUCGUGUUGUACGUGGAGCGCAUGAGUUGUGAUUUGUAUUUCCCAGUUGGUUGGAUCCCUGUCUCGGCAGCGACCUUUUAGACCUUUGUUGGAUCCCUGUCUCGGCAGCGACAAUCGCUUGGUCUUACAUGUUCAUUAAGUCAGAGAGUUGUGAAAGAUGUCCUCAGAUGACUACAUUAACUCAACAUGAAGGUCAACCGCCUUUGACUGGCCAUUAUAAUCCCAAAGAUUGUAUGUUGUCUAUGAAGAAAUCCAGAUUUGUGAUUAUCUUAGUGAAGGCUGGGGCUGCUAUGAACCUGAUUAUUGAGGUUUUGGGAGCUCAUUUGUGAUUAUCUUGGUGAAGGCGUUGACACGGCAGUGAUAUUCUUUGUUUCUCUGUUUAUUUUUGGAUUCCUGUCUAAUGAUCCGGAGCGUAAUCCUGGCCGUGAAGAAUAAAAAGGGAGUUCUCAAUUUCCUUGCUUGAUUUUUCAAUUUUCUUAGUAUAUUUUAUCUAUUCCACAUGUUUAACUAGGAAACAUUCAAUAGGAUUGGCGAAAUUUGUAAGAGAAAUCAAAUAUAAAGUCAUCAACAAAAACAGAAAGAGAGGGAUUCGAUUGUGGGGUGCCUGGCGUAGACUUGAUGGUAUUUUGCCCAAAGACACUCCUAUGGGGUGCUCGGCCUAGACCUGAUGGUUCGUGCUUGGACAUUCUGCGGGGUGCUUGGAAUAGACCUGAUGAGAACUUGAAAUCUUCCCUCCCCCCUGGCGGGGCUGCCAACUCUGGUGUCCUCGGAUGACGCCGGUGCUUGGCGCUGCUAGGGUCGCUGAGGAGUCCUCGGGCUCUUUGGCGUUUGGGAAAAACGUUGGCGUGAAUAGGGUCAGACACGUCGACGUUGACCGUGAAGGAGAAGUGAUCCAUUCGUAUGGAGGGGACCCCGGCUCCCCCCUCCCGAAAACAACGUUGGUGUAAAUGGCCAUAGCACCAACGGAGACCGUCCCGGAGUGGCCAAAUUCGCGCAUAGCGGUUCACGUUGCUUACACUACUGUGGGUUGAUUCCUUUUAGACCUUUAGGUUUUGAAGGGUUCAGCCUGAUGUAUGAGGGUUUCGUGUUGUACGUGGAGCGCAUGAGUUGUGAUUUGUAUUUCCCAGUUGGUUGGAUCCCUGUCUCGGCAGCGAC
This 1911-nucleotide long non-coding RNA is filed under the name Daucus carota (carrot). RNAcentral's name for it is "long non-coding RNA (DCAR_LNC005599)". The record is from RNAcentral. Lineage: Eukaryota; Viridiplantae; Streptophyta; Magnoliopsida; Apiales; Apiaceae.